This is a small nuclear RNA of Myotis lucifugus (little brown bat), 107 nucleotides long. The record is from Ensembl. NCBI's taxonomy places the organism in Eukaryota, Metazoa, Chordata, Mammalia, Chiroptera, Vespertilionidae.
GUGCUCGCUUGGGCAGCACAUAUACUAAAAUUGGAACGAUACAGAGAAGAUUAGCAUGGCUCCUAUGCAAGGAUGACACACAAAUUCGUGAAGCGUUCCAUAUUUUA